AAACCUUCAGCCCCCAGCCGACCCUAUCUUCUCCCCUGCCUGCCGACCCUCUCUUCUCCCUCAGCCUUUCCAUGAGUCUCCCUCAGUUUCAGACUCACACCUGGCCGCACAUGGACGCCGUCGACGAGAUCCGUGGCUCGCUCAAGCAGAUGCGGAGAGGCUCGCUGCAACGGUGGCUCGCAGCUCACGAUGAGGCGGUGGCUCGCGAUGAGGCGGUGGGUUCCAGCCGUGGGUUCAGCUGUGGACUAAGGCUCGAUGAAAAAGGGACAAGCAGGGGCUAAGGUCAACAAUGAAGGGAUAUUGAAAGAGCUCUAAUGGCGAGGGCUUGAACGGCGCAGGCGAGGGUCGACUGUGUCUUCAUUGAAGAGGUCGAACAGGUUUAUUUACAUUGAAAAGGAAGAUUGAAGAGGCAGUUUUGUGAGCUGAAAUGCUGGCCCCUGCGGCACUCGAACAUGAAGAGGCAAAACGAAAUAAACAGGAAAAAAUGAUACGGGCUUAUGACCUCUGGGACGACCCUGCUAAAUCCGAUGUGAUUCUUGCCAAGUUAGCUGAUAGUGCCAAAGUGGUUGAUGCCCUUAAGGAUUUAACAUAUAAGGUGAUAAUCUAUGCAUAGGAUUUUUCAUAUUUAUUAUGAAUUAAUACAUAAUUGAUAAUUAACUAUUUUUAGAUGGGUGCACCAUUGGAGUAUGUCAUUGUCUACCUCUUCAUGGAAAUAAUCAUAUUGUAUCCAUUAUAUAAUAGACUGGCAUAGAGAGCUCUUUUUAUAAUGUGCAGGGCUAUAUUGAGAUUUUUUUCUUUGGUGUAAUACUAGACAACAUUAACAGUUGAAGUUUUUAGAAUAAAAAAUAUAUUUCACUAA
Long non-coding RNA from Humulus lupulus (European hop), 859 nucleotides. RefSeq lists it as uncharacterized. The transcript is spliced from 3 exons. NCBI's taxonomy places the organism in Eukaryota, Viridiplantae, Streptophyta, Magnoliopsida, Rosales, Cannabaceae. The record is from RefSeq and is a predicted model, not a curated record.